GACGAACGCUGGCGGCGUGCCUAAUACAUGCAAGUCGAACGAGAGCGACCGGUGCUUGCACUGGUCAAUCUAGUGGCGAACGGGUGAGUAACACGUGGGUAACCUGCCCAUCAGAGGGGGAUAACAUUCGGAAACGGAUGCUAAAACCGCAUAGGUUCUACAGUCGCAUGACUGAAGAAGGAAAAGAGGCUUCGGCUUCUGCUGAUGGAUGGACCCGCGGUGCAUUAGCUAGUUGGUGAGGUAACGGCUCACCAAGGCCAUGAUGCAUAGCCGACCUGAGAGGGUGAUCGGCCACAUUGGGACUGAGACACGGCCCAAACUCCUACGGGAGGCAGCAGUAGGGAAUCUUCCGCAAUGGACACAAGUCUGACGGAGCAACGCCGCGUGAGUGAAGAAGGAUUUCGGUUCGUAAAACUCUGUUGUUAGAGAAGAACAGCGCAUAGAGUAUCUGUUAUGCGG
This 459-nucleotide ribosomal RNA is filed under the name Granulicatella elegans. RNAcentral describes it as "bacterial SSU rRNA". It matches the Rfam family "Bacterial small subunit ribosomal RNA", at positions 28 to 475 of the family's 1533-position model. The record is from RNAcentral. Lineage: Bacteria; Bacillati; Bacillota; Bacilli; Lactobacillales; Carnobacteriaceae.